RNAcentral lists this long non-coding RNA (740 nucleotides) under Urocitellus parryii (Arctic ground squirrel). Its description in RNAcentral is "lncRNA (ENSUPAG00010014675.1)". The record is from RNAcentral. Lineage: Eukaryota; Metazoa; Chordata; Mammalia; Rodentia; Sciuridae.
CUUCCGCCCCACGUGCGCUUCCGCCACCGGUGCGGAAGAGUGUCAGGGUAGUGGAGCGGGGUGUAGGCGAGAAGCUCCCGAGUUACGGAUAGGCCGAGGCCUCCUAGUAGUCCUGCCUCCUUCUCACACCCGGGAAGAGGGCGGUUCAUAUCUCACCUCGCCCGGAGCCGACUGGUUUAGCCCCGCCUUUUCCGUCCCGUUAUAUAAAGCGGUUGGCUACCCUGCUGUCAGUCAGAUGCAACCAGAGCGGCUUGAGAAGGGCUCUGGGUUUGUUUUGCUGGGCGGCUUUAUGUCAGCUUGGCUGUCAGCUGCAAGAGUGCUUUGAACUUUUAGGUGGAAAAUGCCGGAAAGUAACUUCACAGAGUGGAGCGACAUUAGCGCGGUGCAGGUGGCCGCCGGGUACCCAAGCGUUGUCUUGGAGACAGGAGAUCGUGGGGCGGUGUGGGUGGAGGCUUACAGGGGUUUCCUUUUCGCCUCCCCUAGGUAGGGGAGGAAGCGGCGACGUGGGUGGGACCGGGAGUUUAUUCCCUGUUCUCUUGCCCGCAGGAUGUGGAAUUCGUGUUUGGCGUCCUAGGCAUCCCCCUUGUAUCCCAGGAGCUGGACAUCAGUGGGGAGAACCUUCUGUUCUUUUAUGGAGAGAAGAUGAAGUGAUUGAUAUAUUAAUACGAGCUAUACUUUACUGUUUUUCUGGAAGUGAGUUUACCUGCCACUGCUGUCUUCAUACAGAAAACAUUUAUUGA